This 1018-nucleotide unclassified non-coding RNA is filed under the name Hevea brasiliensis (rubber tree). The record is from RNAcentral. Lineage: Eukaryota; Viridiplantae; Streptophyta; Magnoliopsida; Malpighiales; Euphorbiaceae.
UUUUACUUCUAAGGAAUUGGAGAAAGCAACUGAUCACUAUCAUGUAAACCGAAUCCUUGGCCAAGGAGGUCAAGGAACAGUAUACAAAGGAAUGUUGACAGAUGGGAGAGUUGUUGCUAUUAAGAAAUCCAAAGUAGUGGAUGAAGACAAGCUUGAGCAAUUCAUCAACGAGGUGUUGAUUUUAUCACAAAUAAACCAUAGAAAUGUGGUGAAGCUACUUGGAUGUUGUUUGGAGACGGAAGUUCCUUUACUUGUUUAUGAGUUCAUCCCUAAUGGAACGCUGUUCCAAUAUAUACAUAAUAAAAAUGGAGAGUUUCCAGUUACAUGGGAAAUGCGUUUGCGCAUUGCCACAGAAGUUGCAGGUGCUCUAUCUUAUUUGCAUUCAGCAGCUUCCAUGCCUAUUUAUCAUAGAGAUAUCAAGUCAUCCAAUAUUCUUUUGGAUGAUAAGUUUAGAGCAAAAGUGGCAGACUUUGGCACCUCAAAAUCAAUUUCAAUUGAUCAAACACAUGUGACCACUCGAGUACAAGGAACCUUUGGAUAUUUAGAUCCUGAGUACUUCCAGUCAAGCCAAUUUACAGAUAAAAGUGAUGUUUAUAGUUUUGGUGUAGUUCUUGUCGAGCUUUUGACUGGGCGAAAGCCUAUUUCUUCAACAUUAUCUGUUGAAGAGAGAAGUUUAGCUACAUACUUUAUAUUUUCAAUGGAGGAGAAUCGUUUGUUUGAAAUUGUUGAUGCUCAAGUUCUCAAGGAGGGUGGGAACGAAGAAAUUAUUGCAAUUGCUAAGCUUGCCAAAAAAUGCUUGAACUUGAAUGGAAAGAAGAGACCCACGAUGAAGACAGUGGCAAUGGAGUUAGAAGGGAUUAGAGCAUCUCAUGGAGUUUCGCCCAUCAUGGAACAAGAUUACGAAGAGGUUGAUUAUAUUGUAGGUGACUAUACAGCCGCAUGGGAUGUUGCUUCUUCUUCAACCAGAUCAUUGAAUAGUAGUAUACCAUUGAUGAAAUAAUAGAUAUUUUUAGGGGGA